This 91-nucleotide microRNA precursor is filed under the name Tursiops truncatus (common bottlenose dolphin). RNAcentral describes it as "miRNA (ENSTTRG00000022732.1)". The record is from RNAcentral. Lineage: Eukaryota; Metazoa; Chordata; Mammalia; Artiodactyla; Delphinidae.
AUAUGAAUCACCUGGGACGUUAUUAAAAAGCAGAUCUGAUAUAGGGUGGGACCUGAGAUUCUGCAUUUCUACCAAGUUCCCAGGUGAUGGU